UCGGGAAUUUUGCUCAAUGGGGGAAACCCUGAAGCAGCAACGCCGCGUGAGGGAUGAAGGCCUUCGGGUUGUAAACCUCUUUUGUCAGGGACGAUGAUGACGGUACCUGGCGAAUAAGCCACGGCUAACUACGUGCCAGCAGCCGCGGUAAUACGUAGGUGGCAAGCGUUGUCCGGAUUUACUGGGCGUAAAGAGCGCGCAGGCGGUCGGAUAAGUCGAGUGUGAAAGCCCCUGGCUCAACCAGGGAGGGUCAUUCGAUACUGUUCGACUCGAAGGCAGGAGAGGGAAGUGGAAUUCCGGGUGUAGUGGUGAAAUGCGUAGAUAUCCGGAGGAACACCAGUGGCGAAGGCGACUUUCUGGCCUGUUCUUGACGCUGAGGCGCGAAAGCUAGGGGAGCAAACGG
Molecule: ribosomal RNA, 403 nt
Filed under: uncultured bacterium
Lineage: Bacteria
Description: bacterial SSU rRNA
Rfam family: Bacterial small subunit ribosomal RNA
Source: RNAcentral